UUACAGCAUUACUCAUCAUUCCAUAAAGAAAGAAAAACUAGAAACAAUUUGAAUAUCCACCAUAAAAGAAAUAGUUCAGGAAAAAUAGUUUGCAGAGAAUUUUAAAUAUAGAGGAAUGCUUAUAAUAAAAUGCUAGGAGAAAAAGAGCAAGAUAUGAAAUGAUCUCAACUAUGACAUGACAUCUUAUGCUUGCGUGACUUCUCCAUUUGUCAGAGGCAUCUACUCUGCCUCGAGGAAAUGUAGGAUUGUUAAAGCAAGAAUUUAAAAAGCAAGAACCAGCCGAUGUUCGAGGGUGAUGGGGCCUUGGCAUGCAGAGAUGAGACGGUGGAAGGAACAGUCCCAGCACUGAGACUUGGGUGCCAAGCCCGCACAGCUUAAGAGCAGAGGAGGAGCGUGCUUUUGUCAAAAGCGAUUGGACAUCUGAGGACAAGAACAUGACUGAAACAACCCAUCUCUCUAAUUCACUGUGUUCUACUUCAUCAGCAUCACUCCGAUAUUAUCAUCAUCUUCAUCAUAACCUCCAUCUAAAAAAGAUUUAUUACACAGUGUUUGCGUCUGUGGUCAAUAUAUAAUACAGACAAGACAAGUGCUCCCUUCCUGCUAUAGAUGAGUUUGCAAUUUAUAAAGGAGUGUGGUGCAGAGGAAACACCUUAUGCUUUGAAAUAAAACCAAACUGGG
This 678-nucleotide long non-coding RNA is filed under the name Equus caballus (horse). Its description in RNAcentral is "lncRNA (ENSECAG00000047444.1)". The record is from RNAcentral. Lineage: Eukaryota; Metazoa; Chordata; Mammalia; Perissodactyla; Equidae.